Molecule: long non-coding RNA, 1172 nt
Filed under: Felis catus (domestic cat)
Lineage: Eukaryota; Metazoa; Chordata; Mammalia; Carnivora; Felidae
Description: lncRNA (ENSFCAG00000048896.1)
Source: RNAcentral
CAUGUCUACCCUAUUAAGUUUGCGUGAAGAUCACAUGUCAUAAUAUGUAUGCAAAGUAUUUUGCUUUUGCUAAGUGUUUAAUAAUAAAAAGAACUAAGCCUUGCAUUAAUAAAAAGAACUAAGCAAGCAUUGUUUUAAAUGUUUUACAUUUAUUAACUCAUUUGUUCCUCACAACAACACAAUGAACUAGGCACCAUUCUCCCCCAUUUUGCAGAUGAGGACACUAAGGCACAGAAGGGUUAAUUAUCUUUUCAAGGACACAGAGCUGGCAAGAGGUAAGCAUCUGGAUGACAUCAGGGUGCCUGGCUUCUGCAUUCACCACUUUGCUGUGCCCCUUUUCAGUAUCUGUGUAUUGUUCUCUCCUUAUUGUUAGGAAGAGCAUAGUGUAAUGGGAAGAGUCAUGAAACCUGAAAUUUUCCUGUAGAUUAUCAGCAGCUCUUUACUUAUGGGCAAGUCACUUAUUCUCUGUAGGCUUUAAUUCAGUAUUCUUUAUCCAUAAAACCAAAGACUUCUGAGACCGACAACCUCUUUUUGUCUUCCCAGGAUGCUUUUCCUUAGAGAAUUGCCCCUCCCCCAAACUGUCCCAGAGGCACUGUCAGUCACAUGGCCACCAGCUUCCCUACUGCAGGCCUGCAGAGUUUUCCAUAUCCCCAUGCAAGGUGGAGAGCAUCUGCUUAAGACUAAAUCCAACACAAAGAAAGAAGAGCUGUGAAAUUGUGGUUUGGAGAGGGAAUGAGAGAAAAAUGACAAGAAUGGGCAUAAUUAUUUUGGUACCUGAAUUCAGCUACAUCUGGCCAGCCUGCCUCCAUACUUUUCAGUUUUGUUAUUCAAUAAAAUACUUUUCCCCCCUAAUACUAGUUUGAGUUGGCUGUCACUUACCAGAGGAAUAGUUUGUAUUCACACAGAUUUAAAAUGAUGAUCUUUCUACUAACCAUAACAAUCUUUAACCAUAAUUUUUUUUUCAAUUUUUUAAUGUUUUAUUUUAUUAUUAAGAGACAGAUAGAGACAGAGCAUGAGCAUGGGAGGGGCAGGGAGGGACAGAGACACAGAAUCUGAAGCAGGCUCUAGACUCAGCUGUUAGCACAGAGCCUGACACGGGGCUCAAACUCACAAACUGCGAGAUCAUGACCUGGGCUGAAGUCGGACGCUUAACCGACUGAGCCACCUAGGCG